GACGAACGCUGGCGGCGUGCCUAAUACAUGCAAGUCGAGCGGAGUUUUUAAAAGCUUGCUUUUAAAAACUCAGCGGCGGACGGGUGAGUAACACGUGGGCAACCUGCCCUGUAGACUGGGAUAACUUCGGGAAACCGAAGCUAAUACCGGAUAAUCAUAGAAGUUGCAUAGCUUCUAUGUAAAAGUUGGGUUUACCUAACACUACAGGAUGGGCCCGCGUCGCAUUAGCUAGUUGGUAAGGUAACGGCUUACCAAGGCGACGAUGCGUAGCCGACCUGAGAGGGUGAUCGGCCACACUGGGACUGAGACACGGCCCAGACUCCUACGGGAGGCAGCAGUAGGGAAUCUUCCGCAAUGGACGAAAGUCUGACGGAGCAACGCCGCGUGAGCGAUGAAGGCCUUCGGGUCGUAAAGCUCUGUUGUUAGGGAAGAACAAGUGCUAUUCGAAUAGGGUGGCACCUGGACGUACCUAACGA
Molecule: ribosomal RNA, 476 nt
Filed under: Bacilli bacterium oral taxon C43
Lineage: Bacteria; Bacillati; Bacillota; Bacilli
Description: bacterial SSU rRNA
Rfam family: Bacterial small subunit ribosomal RNA
Source: RNAcentral